GUUGAUCGAAACAGUGAAUCUGGGUUAGAAUUAAACUCAGUUACAGGGCUAGUAGAGCUCAGAAAUGUAGAUUUCUCCUACCCUUCUAGGCCAGAUGUGCGAAUCCUCAACAAUUUUAACCUCAAUGUUCCGGCCGGCAAGACCAUAGCUUUGGUUGGCAGUAGUGGAUCUGGUAAAAGCACUGUGGUCUCCCUCAUUGAGAG
This 203-nucleotide unclassified non-coding RNA is filed under the name Hevea brasiliensis (rubber tree). The record is from RNAcentral. Lineage: Eukaryota; Viridiplantae; Streptophyta; Magnoliopsida; Malpighiales; Euphorbiaceae.